GGCACCCCGGCCCUCCUCCAAUAAACACUGGGCACCUGUCUGGCUUGUAACACUGCAUUCAGCUUCGCUGCAUCAGUCCGUCCCAACUGAGCCAUGAAGAUUCUUCACCUGUGCUGGGCUGUUUUCUCUGUGCUGCUCCUGGCUUCCUCAGGAUUUGCCUUUUUCAAACCAAAUAGCAGGCGGCAAUGCUAUGAAGCCAACGGUGCUUGCAAACUUUUCAAGUGUCCCUCUCCCAUGGUUCAGAUCGGAAAAUGCGGAAUUGUGAGGAAAUGUUGCAAAAGCCCAAUGUGAUAGAAGACUAAUUGCUGCCUGCUGACCCAGGAUCCUUUGAAAAAAGGGAUGUGUUCCCUCAACUUUGAGAGCUACUGGAUCAUGCAUCAUCCCCCAGCUGGAGAUCUCUUCUGUUUAUUCACCAGAGAAUCUGGCUCAAAAUGAAGGAGCGUUUGCAACAUUUACAAUGAGACUAUGAGCGUGUUCCCUUGCAAUAAAAGCAAAUUCAAGA
Non-coding RNA from Zootoca vivipara (common lizard), 502 nucleotides. Lineage: Eukaryota; Metazoa; Chordata; Lepidosauria; Squamata; Lacertidae. The record is from RefSeq and is a predicted model, not a curated record.